RNAcentral lists this unclassified non-coding RNA (1280 nucleotides) under Anthonomus grandis grandis. Its description in RNAcentral is "uncharacterized LOC126742294". Lineage: Eukaryota; Metazoa; Arthropoda; Insecta; Coleoptera; Curculionidae. The record is from RNAcentral.
UGACAUAAAAGAUCAGUUUGAUAUCAUAAUACAUCAAUUUUUAAUACGCUUUGCGUAUUCAUAUUUCAAAAUUUUCGUGUUUGCCUCAUGAAUCAGAAUCGUCCAUUUUUUUCAACAAACACCAACUGUUAUGACGAAUCCUUCACAUCAUCUGCUCCAACUCAAGUAAACGGCGAAAACGUUAUUUUAUCACAAGAACAGCAACGAAGAGUGUGUGAUACGUUGAACACUUCUAUAGUAGGAAACCCAAAUAUAUUUUCUGAACCAGGCAAUAAUAUGAAUCAAAUAUUAUACGCUCAGAAGCAGUACUAUCCUGGAGGAGUUCUUUUUACCUUUCCUUCUGCACCAACAACGAGUUUUGGGCAACAACAAGGGCAAUCUUUUGGACCAGGAUUAUGUUAUCCAUGUCCACCAGUAUCUUAUCCAACUCCUAUUCAGACCGCACCCAUAUCAACCCCAAUGGACUUCUCAUUUCAGCAACCAGCAUUCCAGCAGCCAAUGCAAUGUGUAAAUACAUUUUUUCCUUCUUCCUUGGAAUAUCAGCAAAUGAAUCAAAAUGCACUGCAGCAACCGUACCAAUACCACAGAGAGCCAUACCAGCUUAAAUUUCAUAAUGAUAGAAGCACUUCCUGUUCGGACAUGUUGAAAGGUGAAACACAAAUACCAUCAUCAAGUCAAAAAGCUGGUGUUAUCUAAGCCUGUAAAACAACCAUCUGGACAUGUAAUAGAUGUCCUUGAUGACAAGCAAAAUGGAAAAAAAGAUAAUAAACCGCGGGUUUCUUUUUCAGAUAAGCCAGUUGAUGAGGGAGCUCAGGUUGAUAACGAGUGCUUUUGUAUUGAUCAAAAAGACAGAAGCAAUUCAAAAAUUGUAGAAAGUGGAGACGAAUCAUCAGCAGAUAAGCCCAAAAAACGAAAACAAAAAAAGAAGAAGCCAAAAAAGCAAGUUAAAUCAUCGUCAGAAACAUCCGUUUCGUCAGCUGAAGACACCAAAGAUCAGAAAAAAACAUCUAAGAAUUCGAGAUGGGGCAAACAUGGAAAAUCUGACACAACAGAAAGUGACUCAAGUGAUUCUGAAAAAGCGCAUACAAAAAGCAAGAAAAAAGGGAAAACCAGAAAGCAGAAAAUCAAAGGAAAAAGUAAGAAUACAAAAGAAGAUAAAACACAAACUGACAGCAGUGAGUUUAUGAAUGGCACUAGUGAGGAAAUGGAUUAUUCCACUGAUGCUGAACACUGUAAAUGUGACUGAAAAUGUUGAUUACUAAAAAACUUUAAUCAAGUAA